RNAcentral lists this ribosomal RNA (497 nucleotides) under uncultured bacterium. Its description in RNAcentral is "partial 16S ribosomal RNA". It matches the Rfam family "Bacterial small subunit ribosomal RNA", at positions 28 to 507 of the family's 1533-position model. The record is from RNAcentral.
GAUGAACGCUGGCGGCGUGCCUAAUACAUGCAAGUCGAGCGAACAGACGAGGAGCUUGCUCCUCUGACGUUACCGGCGGACGGGUGAGUAACACGUGGAUAACCUACCUAUAAGACUGGGAUAACUUCGGGAAACCGGAGCUAAUACCGGAUAAUAUAUUGAACCGCAUGGUUCAAUAGUGAAAGACGGUUUUGCUGCCACUUAUAGAUGGAUCCGCGCCGCAUUAGCUAGUUGGUAAGGUAACGGCUUACCAAGGCAACGAUGCGUAGCCGACCUGAGAGGGUGAUCGGCCACACUGGAACUGAGACACGGUCCAGACUCCUACGGGAGGCAGCAGUAGGGAAUCUUCCGCAAUGGGCGAAAGCCUGACGGAGCAACGCCGCGUGAGUGAUGAAGGUCUUCGGAUCGUAAAACUCUGUUAUUAGGGAAGAACAAAUGUGUAAGUAACUAUGCACGUCUUGACGGUACCUAAUCAGAAAGCCACGGCUAACUACGUG